GACGAACGCUGGCGGCGUGCUUAACACAUGCAAGUCGAACGGAAAGGCCCUCCUUGCAUGGUCCUCGAGUGGCGAACGCGUGAGUAAGACUUAGGUGAUCUGCCCUUCACUUCGUGAUAAGCCUGGGAAACUGGGUCUACUACCGGAUAUGACCUUCCAUGUAGCUUGGGGUGUGGAAAGAUUUAUCGGUUUGGUAUGAGCCCGCGGCCUAUCAGCUUGUUGUUGGGGUAAUGGCCUACCAAGGCGUCGCCGGGUAGUCGGCCUGAGGGGGUGGACGGCGACAUUGGGACUGAGAUACGGCCCAGACUACUACGGGAGGCAGCAGUGGGGAAUAUUGCAGAAUGGGCGGAAGCCUGAUGCAGCGACGCCGCGUGGGGGAUGACGGCCUUCGGGUUGUAAACCUCUUACGACAGGGACGAAGCUUCGGUGACGGUACUUGUAUAAGAAGCACCGGCUAACUACGUG
Molecule: ribosomal RNA, 465 nt
Filed under: uncultured bacterium
Lineage: Bacteria
Description: partial 16S ribosomal RNA
Rfam family: Bacterial small subunit ribosomal RNA
Source: RNAcentral